CAUAGGUAGUGGCUUGGUUAAAGGAACCCAUUGGAGCCGUAGCUAUAGCGAGUCUUCAUAAGGCAAUUGUCACUGCUUAUGGACUCGAAUCUAGGUGAUCUAUCAAUGACCAAGAUGAAACUUUGGUGAAACUAAAUGGAGGUCUGAGUCAAUUGAUGUCGAAGAAUCAGCAAAUGAGUUGUGGUUAGAGGUGAAUUGUCACUCGAAUCCAAAGCUAGUUAG
This is a non-coding RNA of Populus trichocarpa (black cottonwood), 222 nucleotides long. The record is from Rfam. NCBI's taxonomy places the organism in Eukaryota, Viridiplantae, Streptophyta, Magnoliopsida, Malpighiales, Salicaceae.